GGUCGUCCGGACGCCGGCACCCCCUGCCGCUUUGGCCACUCCUGUUGGGCUCUGCUGCCUGGGCCUUCAUCUUCAGCAGUCGCUCUACGGCCACCUGUAAGAGCAGGGGACUGCGAUAGACAAGAACUGGGAGGAAUCUGGGCCCACCAACUAUUCCAAAGGCUACUGUGAGGAGUACAUGAGAUGAUGCCCAGCGAGCGCUUUGCUUGCUGGAAGCCCAGAUGGCUACAAGGGGAACUCUGUAAAGGCGUGGAGUGCCUACACCGUAUGCCCUCAAAGCACAGAAAUAUGGCAGAAUAAGAACCCAACAAAAGCAGCAGCUGGCGACUGACUCCAACAAUGCACACCACCACUGGCAAGUAGGUUCACACAUGCCAAAGUGAGGCACCAGCACCACCGGCAGCAAGGCCCAGCUCCACAAUGACCCACGUCCCUAGAUCCAAUGGACAUCCUACCAGGUCUUUCCACAGCAUUCCUACCAAUGGCUCCCCACUGCUUCUGGAAUAAAUAGCUCCAGGGGCUCUGCAUAUGCUGCCUACUUCUGCGACACCUCUUACAC
Non-coding RNA from Microcebus murinus (gray mouse lemur), 559 nucleotides. Lineage: Eukaryota; Metazoa; Chordata; Mammalia; Primates; Cheirogaleidae. The record is from RefSeq and is a predicted model, not a curated record.